AUAUAGGUCAUAUCUAAAGGUACUGUACUACUGUACCCAGGCAGGGACAAGGUUACACUGGGAUGUUGUGAUAUAUAGGUCAUAUCUACAGGUACUGUACUACUGUAUCCAGGCAGGGACAAGGUUACACUGGGAUGUUGUGAUAUAUAGGUCAUAUCUACAGGUACUGUACUACUGUAUCCAGGCAGGGACAAGGUUACACUGGGAUGUUGUGAUAUAUAGGUCAUAUCUAAAGGUACUGUACUACUGUCUCCAGGCAGGACAAGGUUACACUGGGAUGUUGUGAUAUAUAGGUCAUAUCUAAAGGUACUGUACUACUGUAUCCAGGCAGGGACAAGGUUACACUGGGAUGUUGUGAUAUAUAGGUCAUAUCUAAAGGUACUGUACUACUGUAUCCAGGCAGGGACAAGGUUACACUGGGAUGUUGUGAUAUAUAGGUCAUAUCUAAAGGUACUGUACUACUGUAUCCAGGCAGGGACAAGGUUACACUGGGAUGUUGUGAUAUAUAGGUCAUAUCUAAAGGUACUGUACUACUGUAUCCAGGCAGGGACAAGGUUACACUGGGAUGUUGUGAUAUAUAGGUCAUA
Molecule: long non-coding RNA, 587 nt
Organism: Oncorhynchus keta (chum salmon)
Lineage: Eukaryota; Metazoa; Chordata; Actinopteri; Salmoniformes; Salmonidae
Exons: 6
Source: RefSeq, a predicted model, not a curated record